UACGGAGGGUGCAAACGUUGCUCGGAAUCAUUGGGCGUAAAGCGCACGUAGGCGGUCCAGCAAGUCGGGUGUGAAAGCCCUCGGCUUAACCGAGGAAGUGCAUUCGAAACUACUGGACUUGAAUACUGGAGAGGAUCGCGGAAUUCCCGGUGUAGAGGUGAAAUGCGUAGAUAUCGAGAGGAACACCUGCGGCGAAGGCGGGUUGCUGGGCUGACACUGACGCUGAUGCGCGAAAGCUAGGGGAGCGAACGGG
Molecule: ribosomal RNA, 253 nt
Filed under: uncultured bacterium
Lineage: Bacteria
Description: partial 16S ribosomal RNA
Rfam family: Bacterial small subunit ribosomal RNA
Source: RNAcentral